CAGCGUGGAUGAGGCAUGCAAGUCGAACGAAGUAUAUGGGUAACUAAAGCUGUACGUUAGUGGCGGAAGGGUUAGGAAUACGUGGAUAACCUGCCUCUGACUUCGGAAUAACGGUUGGAAACGACCGCUAAUACCGAAUACAGUGAGGGUGAGGAUCUUUCUUCGAUUAAAGCGGGGGAUCGUAAGACCUCGUGGUAAGAGAGGAGUCCAUGGGAUAUCAGCUUGUUGGUGUGGUAAUGGCUCACCAAGGCUAAGACGUCUAGGCGGAUUGAGAGAUCGACCGCCAACACUGGGACUGAGACACUGCCCAGACUCCUACGGGAGGCUGCAGUCGAGAAUCUUUCGCAAUGGGCGAAAGCCUGACGAAGCGACGCCGUGUGUGUGAUGAAGGCUUUCGGGUUGUAAAGCACUUUCGCUUGGGAACAAGAGAUGUAGGCUAAUAUCCUACAAAUUUGAGGGUACCAGGUAAAGAAGCACCGGCUAACUCCGUGCCAGCAGCUGCGGUAAUACGGAGGGUGCAAGCAUUAAUCGGAUUUAUUGGGCGUAAAGAGCGCGUAGGCGGAAAAGUAAGUCAGUUGUGAAAUUCCAGAGCUCAACUCUGGAACUGCACCUGAAACUACUUUUCUUGAGGAUAGGCGGAGAAAUCGGAAUUCCACGUGUAGCGGUGAAAUGCGUAGAUAUGUGGAAGAACACCCGUGGCGUAGGCGGAUUUCUAGCUUAUUCCUGACGAUGAGGCGCGAGAGCAAGGGGAGCGAACAGGAUUAGAUACCCUGGUAGUCCUUGCCGUAAACGAUGCAUACUUGGUGUAGCUGGACUCAACCCCAGCUGUGCCGGAGCUAACGUGUUAAGUAUGCCGCCUGGGGAGUACGCUCGCAAGGGUGAAACUCAAAAGAAUUGACGGGGACCCGCACAAGCAGUGGAGCAUGUGGUUUAAUUCGAUGCAACGCGAAGAACCUUACCCAGACUUGACAUGUAGUAGACCGCAUCAGAAAUGAUGCCUCCCUUAGUGGCUGCUACACAGGUGCUGCAUGGCUGUCGUCAGCUCGUGCCGUGAGGUGUUGGGUUAAGUCCCGCAACGAGCGCAACCCUUGUCAUUAGUUGCCAACAUUUUAGGUGGGAACUCUAAUGAGACUGUCCGGGUUAACCGGGAGGAAGGUGAGGAUGACGUCAAGUCCGCAUGGCCCUUAUGCCUGGGGCUACACACGUGCUACAAUGGCCGGUACAGAGGGCAGCGAAACCGCGAGGUGAAGCAAAUCUCAUAAAACCGGUCCCAGUUCGGAUUGUAGUCUGCAAUUCGACUACAUGAAGUUGGAAUUGCUAGUAAUGGCGUGUCAGCAAUAACGCCGUGAAUACGUUCCCGGGUCUUGUACACACCGCCCGUCACAUCAUGGAAGUUGGUCUUACCCGAAGGCAGUGCUCUUAACCGCAAGGG
RNAcentral lists this ribosomal RNA (1432 nucleotides) under uncultured prokaryote. RNAcentral describes it as "partial 16S ribosomal RNA". It matches the Rfam family "Bacterial small subunit ribosomal RNA". The record is from RNAcentral.